UACGGAGGGCGCGAGCGUUGUGCGGAAUCACUGGGCGUAAAGGGUGCGUAGGCGGCUCGGCAAGUCAGUUGUGAAAGCCCCUGGCUUAACCAGGGAGCUGCGAUUGAUACUGUCGAGCUUGACGCGGGGUGAGGUAGGCGGAAUUUGGGAUGUAGCGGUGAAAUGCAUAGAUAUCCCUUAGAACACCGGUGGCGAAGGCAGCCGGCUGGGCCUGUAUUGACGCUGAGGCACGAAAGCGUGGGGAGCAAACAGG
Molecule: ribosomal RNA, 253 nt
Filed under: uncultured bacterium
Lineage: Bacteria
Description: partial 16S ribosomal RNA
Rfam family: Bacterial small subunit ribosomal RNA
Source: RNAcentral